GGUCGGCAGCGGGGAGAGCCACUGAGGGAUGAGGCCGCCACAGCCCGCUGGGACGCCUUUUCUGCUCUCGCGGCACCGAGCGCGCAGCGCCCAGGAGCCGGGCAGAGCCUGACGCCCUGUCGUCUCCCCUCGCGCACAGGCCCCCGCCAGUGACCCGAUCGGCCUGCUCCCCGCUGUAUGGAACGGCUGCAGAAGCAACCACUUACCUCCCCUGGGAGCGUCAGCUCCUCCCGAGGCUCCAGUGUACCUGGCUCACCCUCCAGCAUCGUGACCAAGAUGGACAAUCAGGUGCUGGGCUACAAGGACCUGGCUGCCAUCCCCAAGGACAAAGCCAUCCUGGACAUUGAGCGGCCUGACCUCAUGAUCUACGAGCCCCACUUUACCUAUUCUCUCCUGGAACACGUGGAGCUGCCCAGAAGCCGGGAGCGCUCGCUGUCACCCAAAUCCACAUCCCCCCCACCAUCCCCGGAGGUAUGGGCAGAGAGCCGUUCCCCUGGGACCGUCUCUCAGGCCUCAGCCCCAAGGACCGUGGGAACCCCGCGGACGAUGCUGCCCCAUUUCCACCACCCUGAGAGCGCCCGCCCAGAUUCCAACAUCUACAAGAAGCCGCCUAUCUACAAGCAGAGAGAGUCCAUGGGAGGCAGCCCUCAGAGCAAGCAUCUCAUUGAGGACCUCAUCAUUGAGUCUUCCAAGUUCCCUGCGGCCCAGCCCCCUGACCCCAACCAGCCAGCCAAGAUCGAGACUGACUACUGGCCGUGCCCCCCAUCGCUGGCUGUUGUGGAGACAGAGUGGAGGAAGCGGAAGGCAUCGCGGAGGGGAGCCGAGGAAGAGGAAGAGGAGGAAGAAGAUGACUCUGGGGAGGAGAUGAAGGCUUUCAGGGAGCGUGAGAGAGAGAUGCUCAGUAAGGUUACUUCCAACUUGGGAAAAAUGAUCUUGAAAGAGGAGAUGGAAAAGUCAUUGCCUAUCCGGAGGAAAACCCGCUCCCUGCCUGACCGGACGCCCUUCCAUACCUCCAUGCAUGCAGGGACCUCCAAGUCGUCUUCUCUCCCCGCUUAUGGCAGGACCACCCUGAGCCAGCUACAGUCCACAGACUUAAGCCCAUCCGGGAGUGAGACGGGAAGCCCAGGCCUGCCGGUGAGUGCCAUCUGGAGGAGAACCUUCAAAGAGCCGGAAGCCAUGGUCGGCAGGCAGUGUUGGGGGUGGGGGAGUGGGGCUGCAGUUGCCUGGUGAGGAUAAGAGAGGCCCAGGGUAAGGCUGGGAGGUCUCCCGCCCCACUCUGGCUCACUGCGGCUUUGGUCUCCCCAGAACGGAGAGGGCCAGAGGGGGAGGAUGGACCGGGGGAACUCCUUGCCCUGUGUGCUGGAGCAGAAGAUCUAUCCCUACGAAAUGCUGGUGGUGACCACUAAGGGGAGAACCAAGUUGCCUCGAGGUGUGGACCGGAUGAGGCUGGAGAGGCAUCUGUCGGCGGAGGACUUCUCAAGGGUGUUUUCCAUGUCCCCAGAGGACUUCAGCAAGCUGGCUCUGUGGAAGCGGAAUGAACUCAAGAAGAAGGCCUCUCUCUUCUGAUCGCCCCCUCCCUCUCCGUGACUGAGCCCUGCCACUUCAGGGCUCUGGAGCUGGGGUCACCAGACCCCCAAAGCAUCAUCUCUUGGGGGAGCAGGGAGGUGGGGCCGCGGUAGGGUUGGCUCCCUUCCCCAGGUCCGGGGAGAGCCAGGACCUCUGCAGCCCUGGGUGGUGGGACUUGGACUUCUUCUCCAGAGGAGCAGGGGCCGCCUUCUCUCGCCGUGGGCCUCACUGCAUGGGCAAACCCCGUCUGGACUCCAGCACACACAGAGUUAAUGUUUGCGCCCUUUCCCUGCCCACACCCCAGUGAAGGUCCCCAGAAGAGAAGGAAAGCGGACAGGGAGCUUGGUGCUCAGGCUGUCGCUGCCUUGGCCACUGAGGGUGGAACCCUGGGGCCCCCUAGGGGGAGGGGGAGCUUGGGAAGCAGCUGGGCGGUGGGCGAGCUGGUGGGGGCCCCUGGGACUCUGGGAGCCCAUGUGCGCCCCUCCUUACCUCACCGUGGACAGCUCCCCACACACCUGGGCCUCUGGCUUCUCUGACUCCAGCAGGAGCAGGCUUGGGCUCAGCCUCCAGCAGGGAGGCCACCCUGCGCUCCAGCCUCACUCUGUCCUCUUCUUUCAACCCCUAAGCUUCAAAGCCUCUUGCUCCAGCCCCGUGGCUUCCCCAGAAGCCUUGGCUUUGAGUGGAGAUGUUGCCUAUACAGAACCCCAGCUCACUAUCAGCCUUCAGGCAAAGUCAGCUAGAAUCCUACCUUCUAGCACUCAGGUCCUGGGCGGAACCCGGGCCUUCAGGCUCCCUUGGUUGGGACCAAGAGGCCAGGCUGUGUCCUGGCUACCAGGUCCUGCCCACCCCCAUACCUCCCCAAUGUGCUCUCUGAAGAAUGUAACUUAUUGGGGCCCCCCCCAGCUGCUCUCUGCACCUAAUCCUCUGCCCUAUCCUAAUCACACACCCAGCUUUUAUUCUCUACAAAUACAUAUGUGUAUAUAAUUAUAUAUAUAUAUUUUU
This is an RNA transcript of Manis pentadactyla (Chinese pangolin), 2568 nucleotides long. It is a transcript of the gene named dematin actin binding protein, with no coding region annotated. The record is from RefSeq and is a predicted model, not a curated record. The transcript has 14 exons. NCBI's taxonomy places the organism in Eukaryota, Metazoa, Chordata, Mammalia, Pholidota, Manidae.